This is a long non-coding RNA of Brassica napus (rape), 736 nucleotides long. RefSeq lists it as uncharacterized. The record is from RefSeq and is a predicted model, not a curated record. NCBI's taxonomy places the organism in Eukaryota, Viridiplantae, Streptophyta, Magnoliopsida, Brassicales, Brassicaceae. The transcript has 2 exons.
UACCUCAUUAACUAAAGGGAGCUUCUAUGACUCCUACUUCUUUAGCACUCAAUAAGCUUAGUUAAGUUACUUUUAAAGCAGUUUUGCAUUCUUAUGUUGAUUUCUAAAAGAGAAAACUUUGACACAUUGAAAGAAACUGAUCUUAGGUUCCUGUGUUAGAUGUUCUUUGUUAACCAAUAUGUUAUGUACUGUGUAGGUCUACAACAGAACCAUCGUUGGAGGGAUAAAGUCAGCGGUUGAGGACGGGUAGACGUAGACGCAUGCACCGCUGCUGGGAUUGGUCGUCACGACCAUCCCGUCGCCACCAGAAAAGCAAGACUGGUCUGUGCAACUAUAGAUCUGGUAGUACAGGUUCAUUACGACGCCGGCUCGCCCAAGAAGAUCCCGGCUUUGGUAGACACCAUUUCGGGCUUUGAAUCUCACCAUCGUCAGGAUUAGCACCCACUGUGAGCAGGAAAAGAAGAAUAAGAGUUAAGAUCAGUGAAGGAAAAAAUGUGUCAGUAUCCAUCAAGAAUCAGGUUCCAAACCUUCAGCUUUAGCUAGGCUUAACUUGAUUUGUCUGUAGACCGUCUACUAAUAGAGCACAGCAGCCAUAAUGGUUUAAGCCUGAACAAGUGUUAUUAGUUCUCCAUGCUUAGCCAUUGGUGUGUAUUUGUAAUGUCACAUUGCAAAACAAUCUGGUUAAUGUCACAAGUGUUAUUAGUUCUCCAUGCUUAUAAAGUUUUUACAGCCACAA